Molecule: ribosomal RNA, 2649 nt
Filed under: Triticum aestivum (bread wheat)
Lineage: Eukaryota; Viridiplantae; Streptophyta; Magnoliopsida; Poales; Poaceae
Description: partial small subunit ribosomal RNA
Source: RNAcentral
AUGGCGGCGACCGCCUACGAGCGCCGCCUGCUCGCCGCCGCCGACCUCGUCCUCUCCGCCGACGGGAAGUCCCAGCUCCCCCGCCUCUCCUCCGCCGACCUCGGCGUCACGGCCGACCUCAAGCCGCACCAGCUGGACGGCGUCNNNNNNNNNNNNNNNNNNNNNNNNNNNNNNNNNNNNNNNNNNNNNNNNNNNNNNAUGGGGCUGGGGAAGACCCUGCAGGCGAUUUCUCUGCUGAGCUACCUGAAGAUCAAAUCCAUCGCCCCCGGGCCCUUCCUGGUGUUAUGCCCUUUGAGUGUGACGGAUGGCUGGUUGUCGGAGUUCGGUAAAUUCUGCCCCACCUUGAAGGUCAUCCAGUAUGUUGGUGAUAAGCCGCAUCGUCGUCAGAUACGGAGAACGAUCCAUGAAGAUGUCCAAAAUUCUUCACAUUCAAAUGAAUUGCCAUUUGAUGUGAUGCUGACGAGCUAUGACAUAGCCUUAAUGGAUCAAGAUUUUCUUUCACAAAUUCCUUGGCUCUAUGUGGUGAUUGAUGAGGCACAGCGUCUUAAAAAUCCUUCAAGUGUACUGUAUAAUGUUCUUGAAGAACGCUUUAUGAUGCCAAGGCGUCUACUACUAACAGGCACUCCUGUCCAGAAUAACCUUUCUGAACUAUGGGCGUUGAUGCACUUCUGCAUGCCUUCAGUUUUCGGGUCCCUAGAUGAAUUUCUUUCUACUUUCAAGGAAGCAGGGAAUUUGUUUUCAGGUAGUGAAGCUAAUAAAGCAAACAGACAAUUCAAGAUCCUUAAACAUAUACUCAGAGCAUUUAUGCUCCGACGAACAAAGGCUUUACUAAUUGAGAGCGGAAUUCUGGAAUUGCCUCCAUUAACUGAGCUGACAGUGAUGGUACCUCUGGCACCCUUACAGAAGAAGAUAUACUUAUCAGUGUUGAGAAAAGAGCUGCAAACACUUCUUUCAUUUACUGGUGGAUCUUCUCGUCAUCAAUCUCUGCAGAACAUUGUAGUACAACUGCGGAAAGCUUGCAGUCAUCCAUAUCUAUUCAGUGGUAUUGAGCCUGAGCCUUAUGAGGAAGGGGAGCAUUUGGUUCAGGCUAGUGGAAAGCUCAUUGUGCUAGACCUUGUUCUUGAGAAGCUCCACAGGUUAGGUCAUCGUGUUGUGCUAUUUGCUCAGAUGACUCAGACGCUGGACAUUCUGCAGGAUUUCCUAGAACUGCGUAAUUACACAUAUGAGCGCCUGGAUGGUUCAGUACGUGCCGAGGAACGGUUUGCAGCAAUCAGAAAUUUCAGCUCUCAAGCUACCAAAGGUGUUGUAAGAGAUGACAGUAAUCCAAGUGGAGCUUUUGUUUUCAUGAUAUCAACUAGAGCAGGGGGUGUUGGGCUUAAUCUCAUUGGUGCUGAUACUGUUAUUUUUUAUGAGCAAGACUGGAAUCCUCAGGCUGACAAACAGGCUUUGCAGCGUACUCACCGCAUUGGACAGUUGAAUCAUGUAUUAUCAAUAAAUUUGGUAUCGCAACGCACAAUUGAAGAGGUCAUCAUGCGAAGAGCAGAGAGAAAACUUAAGCUUAGCCACAAUAUUUUUGGAGAUAAGGAUGCAACUGAUGGGAAAGGGAAAGACUUGGGAAAUGAAGCUAAUGACAUGCGUUCGAUUAUAUUUGGCUUACACCAGUUUGACCCCGCGGAUACAGCUGCAGAAACAAUCAAUGAGGAGACACUGGAAAAAUUGAAAUCAAUGUCAGAAAAUGUUAUCAAAAUGCGUACUCAUGAACCUUCAGAAAAGGAUGACCGAGCAUUUGAAAUCAAUCCAGAUUUGACUGAGGGCAGCGGGGCUGUGAUUACAAGAGCUUGUGAUUCUAUUAGCAUUGAUCCAGGGGUUGACGAAGCUGCGUACCUAUCCUGGGUAGAGAAGUUUAAGGAGGCUUCACAUUCUAUUGAAGAUGUCCCAGUUGAAUUAGAAAGGCAAAGACCUGCACCUGAAGAUAAGCUCUUGAAACGUGAAGCUAAUAAGAAAAAGGCUGAAGAAAAGAGAUUGGCCAAGUGGAAAGAUUUGGGGUACCAGACAUUAGGGGUCAAAGUUCCUGAUAACAUACCAAAUCAGAAUAUUUCUGACUCAGGAUCCGUCCAACUUGUAUAUGGAGAUUGCACUGAUCCAUCAAAAGUUUGCGCUGCAAAGCCUGCCAUUAUAUUCAGUUGUGUAGAUAAUUCUGGGACAUGGGGUCAUGGAGGAAUGUUUGAUGCUUUGACUAGUCUCUCAACAUACAUUCCAGAUGCUUAUCAUCGUGCUUCUGAAGUCGACGAUCUUCACAUGGGGGAUCUUCACUUGAUUCAGCUAGAUGAAGCCAACUGUAGCCGGAGUUUGGAUGCACCUCUAUGGGUGGCACUUGCUGUUGUGCAGUCUUAUAAUCCGAAACGUAAGAUUCCAAGAAGUGAAAUCUCAAUGUCUGACUUGGAGCUGGGUUUGUCAAAGGCGGCCUUCUCAGCUGCUGAGCGUUCUGCGAGUAUCCACAUGCCUCGGAUUGGUCAGCGAAGUGGCGCCCAGCGAUCAGAGUGGUAUACCAUAGAACGCCUGCUCAGGAAAUACGCAUCACUUCAUGGCAUCGACAUUUUCGUGUACUACUUUCGGCGACCAACCAGGCAACAGCCAGACUCAGAUUAA